RNAcentral lists this small nuclear RNA (156 nucleotides) under Triticum aestivum (bread wheat). RNAcentral describes it as "partial small subunit ribosomal RNA". The stretch from base 27 to 156 matches the Rfam family "U1 spliceosomal RNA", at positions 1 to 134 of the family's 166-position model. Rfam says of the family: U1 is a small nuclear RNA (snRNA) component of the spliceosome (involved in pre-mRNA splicing). Lineage: Eukaryota; Viridiplantae; Streptophyta; Magnoliopsida; Poales; Poaceae. The record is from RNAcentral.
AUGAUCCCUCAGUGCACUGUUGCAAAAUACUUACCUGGACGGGGUCGACGGCUGAUCAAGAAGAGUCGUGGCCUAGGCUAGUGGUCCACAUUGCACUUGGUGGAUGCGUUGGCUUACCAUCUCCCCAAGUGGGAGAGUGGACGUCAUAAUUUAUGA